Molecule: non-coding RNA, 46 nt
Organism: Steinernema glaseri
Lineage: Eukaryota; Metazoa; Nematoda; Chromadorea; Rhabditida; Steinernematidae
Source: Rfam
CCAACGGCCCUCCUUAGGGCCACAACUCCUACUUAAAACUUCCAUU